This 496-nucleotide ribosomal RNA is filed under the name uncultured bacterium. RNAcentral describes it as "partial 16S ribosomal RNA". It matches the Rfam family "Bacterial small subunit ribosomal RNA", at positions 28 to 507 of the family's 1533-position model. The record is from RNAcentral.
GAUGAACGCUGGCGGCGUGCCUAAUACAUGCAAGUCGAGCGAACAGACGAGAGCUUGCUCCUCUGACGUUAGCGGCGGCCGGGUGAGUACCCCGUGGUUAACCUACCUAUACGACUGGGUUAACUUCGGGAACCCGGAGCUAAUCCCGGAUAAUAUAUUUACCCGCAUGGUUCAAUAGUGAAAGACGGUUUUGCUGUCACUUAUAGAUGGAUCCGCGCCGCAUUAGCUAGUUGGUAAGGUAACGGCUUACCAAGGCAACGAUGCGUAGCCGACCUGAGAGGCUGAUCGGCCACACUGGAACUGAGACACGGUCCAGACUCUUACGGGAGGCAGCAGUAGGGAAUCUUCCGCAAUGGGCGAAAGCCUGACGGAGCAACGCCGCGUGAGUGAUGAAGGUCUUCGGAUCGUAAAACUCUGUUAUUAGGGAAGAACAAAUGUGUAAGUAACUAUGCACGUCUUGACGGUACCUAAUCAGAAAGCCACGGCUAACUACGUG